Molecule: long non-coding RNA, 3724 nt
Filed under: Mus musculus (house mouse)
Lineage: Eukaryota; Metazoa; Chordata; Mammalia; Rodentia; Muridae
Description: long non-coding RNA chr2:145908382-145912106
Source: RNAcentral
UUUUUUUUUUUUUUUUAAUUUGGUCAGUUUUUUGAGACAGGGCUUCUCUGUGUAGUCCUGGCUGCCCUGAAACUUGCCAUUGUUGACAGGGAUGGCUUUCCUCUGCCUCCUGAAUGCUGGGAUUAAAGGAGUGAACCACCAUGCCCAGCCCCUAUCUUUUAAGUUGGGCUCAGGAAUUCUUACUCUUGCCAUCUCUUGUUUCUUUCAGUAACUUGGAUCCACUUACAGAAACUGUAUCCUUUCUGAGAAAAAAAAAAAGUAAAACUAAGGAUUAUUUAUGGAGAAGAAAAUUGGAGAAACAGAAGAAAAAGAUGAGUUUUGAAAAAUGUUUUAAGGAAUAGGUUUUGAACAGCACAAUCGACAUUGAAAACGAUCACAAAACUGAGAGGGAGUGGCCUCAGGUUUGCCCACAAGCUGUUAAGGUAAAGACUACAUGACACAGUUCCACUGCAGCUCUGCUGCUCACAGUAACCCUGGUUGUACACAGACAGCAGCAACAGCACAGGUAGGUGGGACCUGUCUCCCCUGCUGUGAACCAGACCUAGAGAGGGUAAGUGGCUCCAUAGUGUCUCCAGCAGCCCUGCUCAAUAGAGCCUGGGUCUUUCUGGCAUACAUGGCUUCCAGAACACGUCUUCAUACGUGUUUCAGGGCAUGCAGUCAAAAUAGGAGAGGUGAUUGCUUUGGGAAGCACCACACAGCCCUACUCUCUCACUGUCCAGGAGCUGCCUCCUGACUUGUUGCUGAAGAGAAUAACGGAUUUUAGUAAACAGUUUCUAUCAACUCAGUAGAAAAGGAGGAAAAAUGUCAAGUUAGGGUAUUCCUGAUUGUACUACAAUAGUAGAUCAGUGGCUUACAACACAAAUAAGAUUUCUAAACCACCUUCUACAGACUACUGCUGGGGAUUACAGGUAGCUUACUAGAGCACAGAAGCUAAUGAAGAGCUAGUUCAGUUUCACCACUCAAAAGACACGCAAACUAAAAUAUGAGAACCCAGUUUACUAUAUCAGAUUCUCCAGAAUUUUGAAAAGAUACAACCCCGUGCUGCUGUGGUUAAGUAAGGUGCCUUUUUAGAAGCUGCUGGUGUCACAGUCAUCUGGCACCAUCUUUCUGAAAAGUACUUUAGAAGUAAUGCUAUUUCUUGAAGGCUGAAAAUAAAAAACAACAGGCAGUUUACUCUGGGGAUUGGCAAAGCAUGGAAGCAUGGACAAAUCUGGCUUAUCACUCAUUUCUUAGGGUUUUUUUUUAACCAGGAUACAGCCAUGUUGGUUAAUUUACAUACUGUCUGUGGUUCUGAGUUUGGGUGGAUAUGACAGUCCCCAAUACCACAUCUUAUUGUCCCUUUACAAAAAAAGUGACAUCAUAAAACUUAUUUUAAGAGAAUUAUAUUUAAAAACUUGGAAUGUCAUUCACAUUUACCAAUAAGGAAAUGAUAAAUUAAGCUGUCUUCAUCAAAAAUAUAGAAGGACCUAGAUAUUUUUAAGAAAUUAGUAAUGACCUAGAUGUCCCCUGGCAGAGGGAUGAGAUAGUUUAAGUUGUGCAGAGGAACACAAUUAACAACUACAAGCAUCAGGAGGCCACAUCAGAAACCAUGGAACAGAAAAACCAAAAAGCCCUCAAAGCACUUACAGGAAUAUGUAGGAUUUUGAAGAAUUUCAUGUCACAGAGAUUUUACCUUUGGUAAAAUAGUAGAUUACAAGUUAACCUGCACUUUUGACUAUAUAAGGCCUAGUGUAUAUGUAGGGAGUGGAGAUAUUGAGGGGAGGGGAGCUCACGGUAGUAGUGUCAGUUGCUGGACGGCAGGAAGACCAGCUAACACUACGUUCUGAAAGAAGUGGCUGCUUGCUCUUAAGAAGAAUUUCAAAGCUAACAGUGAUGAGAGGGCUCCCUGGGAACUUUUUCAUAGAAAGUGUAAUAAUAGUGUCUUUUUUAUUUUUUAAGAUUAAUUUAUUUUAUGUAUGUGAGUAUACUGUAGCUGUACAGAUGGUUGUGAGCCUUCAUGCGGUUGUUGUGAAUUAAAUUUUAGGACCUCUGCUCACUUCAGUCCCACCCUCUUCUAGUUUGUCAGAUCUCAUUAUGGGUGGUUGUAAGCCACCGUGUGGUUGCUGGGAUUUGAACUCAGGACCUUUGGAAGAGCAGUCAGUGUUCUUACCGGCUGAGUCAUCUCACCAGCCCCCUAAUAGUGUCUUUUUAUGUAAUUGCACCAGAAAGCUGACAUAAGGUGAAACAAACAUGGCAGUGAAUCAUAGCAGUAAGGACACCCCAGGUCGAAGAGAAACCAUUCAUUUAUUCUUUCUUUCCAAGUAAGAGAGCCUCGCUUUGUGUCCUAGUCUGGCUUGAACUACAGAUGCUUCUUUCUGCUGGAGAGCUGGGUUAUAGGCACAGGCUAGGCAGGCAGGCAUUUCCUCUGAACAUAAUUGAUUCCUUAGCAAAUUGAAUAGUUGCAUAGCUGUAGUCCAAGUAGAAACUGGCCAUUGAAUUUUCCAGUGUAAAUCAGGAGAUACAAAUGUUCUUUGUGCCCAGCAGUUGAUAGAAUAAAUUUGAGAGAGAAUCUAACUUUCUAGUGGCAGGGUAGAUGGACCAUGAACAGGAAGUAAUCCUAGAUGAUGAAUGGCACACAUAAUCAUAGGUACAAUCUGAUCAGUGUGGAGGCAGACUAGCAGAUUCUGCUUUCUACUAGAUGGCACCAUAUGCAUUCUACAUCUAGAGAGAUGGCCAGACAAUUUUAUUAAAAACAUUGAAAUUUUAUUAAAAACUAGUGCUGAUAUAAAUAUUCCAUUUCAUGGUAUUAGAAAAAUUAGUGUACUAAGUAGAGGAGGAUAAAAUCUCAAGUGUUUUUACAUGUGGUUGUGAAGGGAAGAUCUAAAGGGUAGAGGGUGACUCAACUGCCUUUCCUAAUCACUCUCCACUUUACACAGCUUCUCCCAAGUGCUGGGAUUACAAGCAGGCAGCCAAGCCCGUCCAGCAUUUAUGUGAAGACUAGGUAUCUGAGCUCCAGUCCUCAGCUGACAGCACUUGAUCCACCAUGCCACCUCCCUAGCCUGAUGGUAGUUUUUGUUUUGUUUCUCUACAUAGCCCUGGCUGUUCUAGGACUCACUGUAUAGACCAGGCUGGCCUCAAACUCAGGAGGCAGAGGGAUGCACCCGAAUCCAGUGUAAAUCAGGAGAUACAAAUGUUUCUCCUUUACGUUCUCUACAAAAACACAUAUGAGAAAUUAAAGUGCUGGGAUUAAAGGCAUGUACCAUUAUACCUGCUUUUGCUCUUUAUUAUGUCUCAUUCCUUAACAGCUCUAGUAUGGGAUUCCUUUUUACUUACAGUACCUUGCGCACUGGCCAGAGUAUUUCAUCGUCGCUGAAGCACCUGGCGGAGAACUAAUGGGUUAUAGUAAGUACAGUACCACUAGUACUUUUUUGGGUGAGUAAAGACUUUAAUACAGGUUUCAGUCUGCUUUACUCUAGAAUGUGAUGUAAAUCAUGAAAGAUGGAAUUUUAUUUUCAGAUCAAUUACUAACAGUUUACCACAUCCAGCCUUGCACUAGGCCAAGAGCUACAGCAGUGAACCUAAGAGAAAAGAUUGUAGUCUUUGUGGAUCAUUCCUUGUUAGAUUUCUGUAUGGUUACUUUGUAUAAGAGGCAGUGGUUAAAGCAAAGCCACUUAGCCGAUCAGCUCGAGCUAUGAAUUGCUGCAGUCAUACAUACAUUGUAAAUGUAUUUAAAUGUAGCUAUUUG